AUUUAAAUAGCUUAUAUUAGAGCAUAACAUUGAAGCUGUUAAGGAGAUAAAUUAUCUUUAAAUA
This 64-nucleotide transfer RNA is filed under the name Chrysoperla externa. RNAcentral's name for it is "tRNA-Phe". Lineage: Eukaryota; Metazoa; Arthropoda; Insecta; Neuroptera; Chrysopidae. The record is from RNAcentral.